UUGUAGCAUCGUACUUCUGGUAUUUGUUGGUCAUAUCUACUAACGGUUGUUUAAUACUGCCAUCAAUCUGAAACAUAUAUUAAAUUAUGAUUGUAUUUUCAAAUCCCUAAAACAAACCCUGUACUGAUUUAUGUUGGCAAUUUUAUUUUUAUUUAAAGAUGUUAGUCGUGACAUGUGACGUACGGCCACUUAUUGGAUCUGAUCUAAUGAUUUGAUACCACGAAAUGAUGCUUCUCCUGAUAUUAAUGGUUUUAUGACACAGGUCAAAACAACCUCCAAUUAGACCAAGCAAACCAAUCAAGAAGAAAAACACACCAAAGCCAAUGAGAGCAUAAGCGGCAACCUUGACCAAGUCCACAAGAUUCUCUGCUCCAAACGCAGCACUGCCUCCAGUACUAGCACUAGCAAAAGAAUCCGUAGCUGUGGCGAAGAGCAAGUCCAAUGCCGGUGUAUAAGCAAAUACUAAAAUACCAACAAUUAGUAAUAUGAAGCCGAUUACCUGAAAAAAAGUAAAAUGCAAUCUAGAAAUUGGGAGUGGCAAGCAAUUAUUUUCAACUAUCAUGUCAAAUCAAGAGCUUUAGAUUUAACAAUAUUUUAUUCAUAAACGAAUGGGGUUGAGCAGCAGGCUUGAAACCUAUAUCGGCUCUUUCCAUAGAUACAAAGGGAAAGUAUUUACAGGCUCCGUGUUUAUUUGUACCAGAAUGGGAGAGAAGUCGUACUUUGAUUUCAGUCUGAGCUAAGCCAGAGUGGAUUACACUGGGGACAGUUCUCCCUCAUCACCUGACUUACACCCGACAAGUGUUACUUAACAAAGAUUAUAUC
Long non-coding RNA from Patella vulgata (common limpet), 822 nucleotides. RefSeq lists it as uncharacterized. The transcript has 3 exons. NCBI's taxonomy places the organism in Eukaryota, Metazoa, Mollusca, Gastropoda, Patellidae. The record is from RefSeq and is a predicted model, not a curated record.